This 245-nucleotide unclassified non-coding RNA is filed under the name Hevea brasiliensis (rubber tree). Lineage: Eukaryota; Viridiplantae; Streptophyta; Magnoliopsida; Malpighiales; Euphorbiaceae. The record is from RNAcentral.
CUUUCUUCAUCUUCACUUCUGGAAUCUAAACUCGAAGAAUCAGUCUGUUUGCGGCCCCUAGAAAAAAUUCCAGAGGCCAGCCUGGUCACAAAUCCUAGUGCAGCCAGGGGAAUAGACAGAGCCCCGUUCCUUCCUGAAUCUUCAGUGGCCAUGGCACCAUCUUCAUCUUCAAUACUGAUGUCAGUAGCAUUUGUUGUUCCAAGUUCCUCUUCUACGUUCCCAAGAGUCUCCCUUUCAUGAUCUUC